This 109-nucleotide microRNA precursor is filed under the name Marmota monax (woodchuck). The record is from RNAcentral. Lineage: Eukaryota; Metazoa; Chordata; Mammalia; Rodentia; Sciuridae.
AUAAAAAUCACCUAAGGAUUUUGCUAAAAUGCAGAUUCUUAUUGAAUAAGUAAGUCUGAAGUGGGGACUGAAAUUAUGCAUUUGUAACACAUUCCCAGAUGACAUAGAU